This 254-nucleotide ribosomal RNA is filed under the name uncultured bacterium. RNAcentral describes it as "partial 16S ribosomal RNA". It matches the Rfam family "Bacterial small subunit ribosomal RNA", at positions 524 to 776 of the family's 1533-position model. The record is from RNAcentral.
UACGGAGGGUGCAAGCGUUGCUCGGAAUUAUUGGGCGUAAAGGGUAGGUAGGUGGUCUCGUUUGUCUGGGGUGAAAGCCUUGAGCUUAACUCAAGAAGUGCCCCAGAAACGGCGAGACUAGAGUCCUGGAGAGGGUCGUGGAAUUCCCGGUGUAGCGGUGAAAUGCGUAGAGAUCGGGAGGAACACCAGAGGCGAAGGCGGCGACCUGGACCAGCACUGACGCUGAGUGCGCGAAAGCCAGGGGAGCAAACGGG